This 253-nucleotide ribosomal RNA is filed under the name uncultured bacterium. RNAcentral's name for it is "partial 16S ribosomal RNA". It matches the Rfam family "Bacterial small subunit ribosomal RNA", at positions 524 to 776 of the family's 1533-position model. The record is from RNAcentral.
UACGGAGGGUGCAAGCAUUAAUCGGAUUUAUUGGGCGUAAAGGGCGCGUAGGCGGAGAUGCAAGUCAGAUGUGAAAUCCUGGGGCUCAACCUCAGAACUGCAUUUGAAACUGCAUCCCUAGAGGGUAGAAGGAGAAAACGGAAUUCCACAAGUAGCGGUGAAAUGCGUAGAUAUGUGGAAGAACACCGGUGGCGAAGGCGGUUUUCUAUUUUAUACCUGACGCUGAUGCGCGAAAGCAAGGGGAUCAAACAGG